UACAGAGGUCCCAAGCGUUGUUCGGAUUCAUUGGGCGUAAAGGGUGCGUAGGCGGCGCGGUAAGUCGGGUGUGAAAUCUCGGAGCUUAACUCCGAAACUGCAUUCGAUACUGCCGUGCUCGAGGACUGGAGAGGAGACUGGAAUUUACGGUGUAGCGGUGAAAUGCGUAGAUAUCGUAAGGAAGACCAGUGGCGAAGGCGGGUCUCUGGACAGUUCCUGACGCUGAGGCACGAAGGUCAGGGGAGCAAACGGG
This 253-nucleotide ribosomal RNA is filed under the name uncultured bacterium. RNAcentral describes it as "partial 16S ribosomal RNA". It matches the Rfam family "Bacterial small subunit ribosomal RNA", at positions 524 to 776 of the family's 1533-position model. The record is from RNAcentral.